GGUCCCGGGGACGGAGUGGCUCAAGUCGUCGCCCUUUCACGGCGGAGGUAGCGGGUUCGAGACCCGUCGGGAUCACCA
Molecule: transfer RNA, 78 nt
Filed under: Bacteroidota bacterium
Lineage: Bacteria; Pseudomonadati; Bacteroidota
Description: Bacteroidetes bacterium tRNA-Glu
Rfam family: tRNA
About the family: Transfer RNA (tRNA) molecules are approximately 80 nucleotides in length.
Source: RNAcentral